AAAAAAAAAAAAAAAAAAGACUUACCAAAUACAGUAUAGGCCCAACAGACUUCAAAUCACCAAUAGCCAUGUAUCCCAACGCUAUGACGUCAAGUGUAGCAGCUUCUUCAAUGCCUCUAGCACCUGCAUUAAUCUGCUCUUUCACAACUUCAUAAUUUGCUUGGAGUAGGUCCAUAGCGUUGUCUUUGUUUCCCAUCAAAAUCAUUGACUUAACUUCAUCAUACAACUCUUGCAAUUGUCUCUCAAAAUCUUUCAUACCAUCCGAAGGAUUACUUGGGCUUUGAAGCAAUGUCCUAGACCUUGGGAGGUCACUUGGAUUCGAGGCACCUGAUGAAUUUCCUUUGCAUGCCACAUCCACAUUUAAUGAGGCAACUGAAGUAAAAGUUUUCAAUGUGCAGUGAGGACUAAUGGCUUGAGCCGGUAUCAUGUAUAGUUUGAAAAUACAUUUCAUGCCUUUCUGAUGACUUGAAUGCAAGUCGACAAAAGCUUGAUUAAUCCGGUGGUUGCUUAAAGAGGGGAAAGAUAAGAGAGAAGCUGCCAUUUCCAGGAGUUGCAAAGCAGAGAGACAGCCGCUAAGUAGACUCGCCUCUAG
Molecule: unclassified non-coding RNA, 592 nt
Filed under: Hevea brasiliensis (rubber tree)
Lineage: Eukaryota; Viridiplantae; Streptophyta; Magnoliopsida; Malpighiales; Euphorbiaceae
Source: RNAcentral